RNAcentral lists this transfer RNA (90 nucleotides) under Pyrobaculum sp. JCHS_4. RNAcentral describes it as "tRNA-Val". It matches the Rfam family "tRNA". Rfam says of the family: Transfer RNA (tRNA) molecules are approximately 80 nucleotides in length. Their secondary structure includes four short double-helical elements and three loops (D, anti-codon, and T loops). Further hydrogen bonds mediate the characteristic L-shaped molecular structure. tRNAs have two regions of fundamental functional importance: the anti-codon, which is responsible for specific mRNA codon recognition, and the 3' end, to which the tRNAs corresponding amino acid is attached (by aminoacyl-tRNA synthetases). tRNAs cope with the degeneracy of the genetic code in two manners: having more than one tRNA (with a specific anti-codon) for a particular amino acid; and 'wobble' base-pairing, i.e. permitting non-standard base-pairing at the 3rd anti-codon position. Lineage: Archaea; Thermoproteati; Thermoproteota; Thermoprotei; Thermoproteales; Thermoproteaceae. The record is from RNAcentral.
GGGCCCGUAGUCUAGCGGUAUGAUGCCCGCCUCACGCGCGGGUGGUCCCGGGAGGGUAGCUCCCCGGGAAUUCAAAUCCCGGCGGGCCCA